UACCAGCACCCCGAGUGGUCGGGACGAUUAUUGGGCCUAAAGCAUCCGUAGCCGGUCCUACAAGUCUUCCGUUAAAUCCACCUGCUUAACAGGUGGGCUGCGGAAGAUACUAUAGAGCUAGGAGGCGGGAGAGGCAAGCGGUACUCGAUGGGUAGGGGUAAAAUCCGUUGAUCCAUUGAAGACCACCAGUGGCGAAGGCGGCUUGCCAGAACGCGCUCGACGGUGAGGGAUGAAAGCUGGGGGAGCAAACCGG
Molecule: ribosomal RNA, 253 nt
Filed under: uncultured bacterium
Lineage: Bacteria
Description: partial 16S ribosomal RNA
Rfam family: Archaeal small subunit ribosomal RNA
Source: RNAcentral